This 105-nucleotide ribosomal RNA is filed under the name Nannospalax galili (Upper Galilee mountains blind mole rat). The record is from RNAcentral. Lineage: Eukaryota; Metazoa; Chordata; Mammalia; Rodentia; Spalacidae.
GUUUAUAGCCAUUCCACUUUGAGCACACCUGUUUUCUGAUCUCAGAAGCUAAGCAGGGUCAGGCCUGAUUAGUGCUUGGAUGGGAGAGAGAAAGCAGCUUAGGUU